RNAcentral lists this ribosomal RNA (510 nucleotides) under uncultured bacterium. Its description in RNAcentral is "bacterial SSU rRNA". It matches the Rfam family "Bacterial small subunit ribosomal RNA", at positions 791 to 1301 of the family's 1533-position model. The record is from RNAcentral.
UAGUCCACGCCGUAAACGAUGUCUACUUGUUGUUUGUGUCUUUAAGACGUGAGUGACGAAGCUAACGCGCUAAGUAGACCGCCUGGGGAGUACGGCCGCAAGGUUAAAACUCAAAUGAAUUGACGGGGGCCCGCACAAGCGGUGGAGCAUGUGGUUUAAUUCGAUGCAACGCGAAGAACCUUACCAUCCCUUGACAUCCAGUGAAUUAUCUAGAGAUAGAUUUGUGCCUUCGGGAACACUGAGACAGGUGCUGCAUGGCUGUCGUCAGCUCGUGUUGUGAAAUGUUGGGUUAAGUCCCGCAACGAGCGCAACCCCUAUCCUUAGUUGCCAUCAGUUCGGCUGGGAACUCUAAGGAGACUGCCGGUGACAAACCGGAGGAAGGUGGGGACGACGUCAAGUCAUCAUGGCCCUUACGGGAUGGGCUACACACGUGCUACAAUGGCAGGUACAGAGGGUUGCGAGCUAGCGAUAGUUAGCGAACCCCUUAAAGCUUGUCGUAGUCCGGAUUGG